This is a long non-coding RNA of Pongo pygmaeus (Bornean orangutan), 3032 nucleotides long. RefSeq lists it as uncharacterized. The record is from RefSeq and is a predicted model, not a curated record. NCBI's taxonomy places the organism in Eukaryota, Metazoa, Chordata, Mammalia, Primates, Hominidae. The transcript has 4 exons.
GGCGCGGUCUGCGGCGGGGGCGGGAUGCCGCGACCCUCGCGCACCGGGUCUUGCAUCGAGGUGCUCCGCGGGAAGCGCCCUUCCAGCAGGGACGCCAGCUUCUCGUCCUCCCCUGCGGACGGAAGGGCCGGUGAGACCAGCCAGGGCGCUGGGCGGGGAGGGGUGGUGCUGCCUUCGGAGAGGCUCCUGGGGACCCCGGCACCCCCUCCCGCAGAGGCCAGCCUUGCCCCGACUCCACCCCGGGGAAGCCACCGUCCGGACACAAUGGACGCCCGCGGCAGAACCCGGCGCGAGGAGCUAGAAUGCUCGGGAAAAUGGGGUUGGGGCCAGUGGUGGCCGGGAAAUGGAGGGCAGGGGAGAAACAGGGAGCCCAGAGCACGGGCUCCGAGGCAGACCCUGGUCUGGGUUGGUCCCUGGAUGCCCAAGCUCUGUGCCCCAGGCCCAGGGCUGCACGGGGAGGGCUCUUGUGAAGAGGACAGGAGAGAGGUGUGCGUUCAGUUACAGGAUGGAGGAGGGCCCCACCGGGGACCCCCGAGAAAGGACACAAACUCUGACGACCUGGGUUGGGGCCAAGACCUGCCCAAACCCAGGGUCAUCAAGCAGGCCCUGAGAAGAUAUCCCAGGAAGGCAGGGACAGCCCUGCAAGACAUGGGGACAGAACUGCUGAGGGGCUUGGAGGGGCCAGUACAGGGCUCCCCACCCCAGAAUGAACAAGUCCGACGCAGAAGUACCAGCCCGGGAGGCAACCAGAGGCGAGAGGAAGAUGGUCGGAAAUGAGCAGGAGGGACACACCGGCAGGGUGAGGGGCAGCAGGGCUGUGGCCACUGGAGCCAGGCCUCCGGCAGAGAAAGACCUAAGGCCCACCCAGGUAAGGAGGUGCUCUGUGGAAGAAGCCUUGAGAGGCUCCUCCCAGAGACCCACAUGGGUGGGUGAUGCAAACACAGUGGCUGAAAUUCAGUAAGGUUGGGUGAGUGGGUGAAGGGAAGAAUGGAUGGAUGAAUUAAAAUGGAACUGCAGGCUGAGCACCCAGCACGUUUCAUUUUAACCCCUACUGGCAGCGUGACCCCAGGCCAGGCCCUGAGCCCCUUUGAGCUUCAGUUCUUUCAUGGUCAAAACAGGCUUAAAAUGAACUCCCCUCUGCAUGCCUUGCUCAGACGUCAUUGUUAGGAUCCUGUGCAAGGGCUGGAGUGCUCAGGGCCCUCAUGAUCCUGCUGUCCAGCCAGAACCUGACACAACCUCCUGAGCACCCCUGUGGACAUCAUGAUGUGGAUACACGUGCUGCAGGUGUGUUCAGUGAGGCUGCAGGGGGCAGAUGGCCCCACACCCACACACCCAGGUCUCGUGAUGCUCCUGUUCCCAGCCUCACUCAGAUUGGUCAACAUUUUUAUGAACUCGCUAAAAUACAGACUGCCUGUUCCUGAUCGCAUCCUCCUCCAGCCACCGCAGUGCUAAUGAGGCCUCCAAUACUACACUGCUUCUUGCUGGGCAUAAUAUCUCUUUGUAGCCAAGGUACCAAGGGUGGGCUUUUGUGUACAGACCUAGGCUUGAAUUUUAGAUCUGCCAGGAACUUCAGAAGCUUCUAGGAACUUCAGUUUCCUCAUGUCAAGAGGACAGCCUGCAACUAUUGUGAGGCAAUUUCACCUUUACAGUACAGGGCUGAACUGCAGCAGUAUCCUGGGAAUGGGGGAAGGGGGCCGAGGUCAUCAUCAUCGUGAUUUUUAGGUCUGCCUUCCCCCCAUCCCCAACCGCUGGACAGAGAAAUUGUGCCCAGUUCGUCCUGGGUCUCCUGCUGCAUUCCCUGCACUGUGUAUGAACGCGCAGUGAACACCCACAAGCCUAUGUGUUAGAUGGAGCGACACAGAACAAGCGCACCUUGAGGAUGUAGAAGGCGGGAGUGACGUGCAAAGAUGAAAUAAGGGGAAAUUUAAUGCUAAUAGCAUGCCAAGUUCUGACUUAGGGUCAUAGCAGAGAGCAUUUCUCGAGCACCGUGUGCCAACCUCAAGAAGCAGCAUCUACGUCUAACACUGGCGACUGGCUGCUGAGCACUCCCAGCAUGCCACAUGGUCCGUGAGUGCCGCCUACCGGGCGAGCCUCAGAGUGGUCCUUGGAGCUGAGGCCCAGCAGGCCAAGAGGAGCCAAAAAGGAGCACCUGUCCACCCAUCCAUCAACCGAGUGCAAGAGGAUGCCUGAGGGACCAGUGCAGAACGGGCAGUCCUAGGAGAGUGGCUCAAGGCCUGCAGGGUCGGGCCCAGGAACAGCAAGAGUCAGAAGACCCAGGUCAAGGGAGGCAGAGACAGAUGUUUCCAGAUGAAGCAGGAGAGCACUGGGGCCAAUCUCCAGGGCCCCAAGCACAUACAGGCCACUCUUGGCUACAUGUACCGCACUGGAAGGGAAGCUGUUCACAGCCCGAGGACAGACCCCGAUGUACAAGCAGGCUUCCACAAAAUAUCAAAGUGACUUGGAAACUCUGUUAAACUAAUACGUAUAUCUAAGGACCAUCAGAGCUCUGGCUGGAUGGCUCCCCCAGGACAUCAGUAGCUCUCGCCCCCUGUGGGUCCACUGAGGACCAGUGCGUGGAGCAUGCAGCCAGGGCUGGGGCAGCCCUCAUGUCCACCUGGCUGCUGCACCCGCCCUCUCAUUCAGCAGCCCCACUGCACCCCACCCAUCACUCAGGCUCCACCCAACCCCAGGCCCUUCUCCACUCUUUGGGGCUAUGCCAACCCUAGAGGGACGACUGUCUGGUCACACUUGUCUUGGCACCUUUCACUCUUGUCUUGGCUCCUUGUUGGAGAAUUUCAGUGGUCAGACUGGACACCUCCUACUCCUUCCAACUCCAAUCUGCAGCUGUUCACAGCACCUGCUGGUUCUACCUCUGCGAUCUGCUUCGCAUUGCUAGAAGGAAGUAAAUAACUCCCCAAGACUGUCCUGUACCCAACCCAGACCAGACCCACCCUGUACACUGACUCUGUCCUGACCUAACCUCUUUGUGACCUCUGUGUCCUCAUCAAUAAAACAGGCAUAAAAACAGCGCU